UGCAGUUUCCCCUUUUUUCUGGUUUUGCUAUUCAAUUUUGUUGUUCGCUUGUUUGUUGGAUUGAUGGAUAUCAAUAUCGAUACUGAGAUGUAUCUGCAAGGUGGAGAACCCUUGAUGGUCUCCGUCGAUUGGCGUAGCUACUUGAUGCCAGAAUCACGAGAAAACUGGAUACAUUGAAGAGGCAUCUUCCUUUCUCUGAUCAAGAAGGAUUACAGGAACUCCAGAAAAUGGCUUUAAGGUUUGAGGAAAAGGUUUAUACUGCUGCCACAAGCCAGUCGGAUUAUCUGCGGAAAAUUUCUGUGAAAAUGCUAACAAUGGAUAGAUCAAGUCUCAGAACACAAUGGCCAACUCCUUGCAAUUCAACUCUGCUGGAAAUAGCAACACAACCCCGAUCCAUGUAAAAACACCAACAAAUGAUGUUCUCCAAUUUCAUGCAACUCUAGACUGGAAUUCUUUUGCUGUGUCUUGUAUUUAGUUCUCAGGCAAAGGAUUGAACACUUGGUCUUCUAUCAACAAAACAGAAAGAAAUAUAUGUA
Long non-coding RNA from Rosa chinensis, 536 nucleotides. RefSeq lists it as uncharacterized. Lineage: Eukaryota; Viridiplantae; Streptophyta; Magnoliopsida; Rosales; Rosaceae. The record is from RefSeq and is a predicted model, not a curated record. The transcript has 3 exons.